RNAcentral lists this ribosomal RNA (253 nucleotides) under uncultured bacterium. RNAcentral's name for it is "partial 16S ribosomal RNA". It matches the Rfam family "Bacterial small subunit ribosomal RNA", at positions 524 to 776 of the family's 1533-position model. The record is from RNAcentral.
UACGAAGGGGGCUAGCGUUGCUCGGAAUCACUGGGCGUAAAGGGUGCGUAGGCGGGUCUUUAAGUCAGGGGUGAAAUCCUGGAGCUCAACUCCAGAACUGCCUUUGAUACUGAGGAUCUUGAGUUCGGGAGAGGUGAGUGGAACUCCGAGUGUAGAGGUGAAAUUCGUAGAUAUUCGGAAGAACACCAGUGGCGAAGGCGACUUACUGGACACAUAUUGACGCUGAGGUGCGAAAGCGUGGGGAGCAAACAGG